This 107-nucleotide small nuclear RNA is filed under the name Phascolarctos cinereus (koala). The record is from RNAcentral. Lineage: Eukaryota; Metazoa; Chordata; Mammalia; Diprotodontia; Phascolarctidae.
GUGCUUGCUUCGGCAGCACAUAUGUGAAAAUUGAAAUGAUACAAAGAAGAUUAGCAUGGCCCCUGCGUAAGGAUGAUACGCAAAUCCAUGAAUCAUUCCAUAUUUUU